AUGCUCGUUUCUAGAAGAAAGACGCUAGGGCAACCAACCAUGGAUUUUAAUCUUUUUCGGUUUUCAAUUCGAGUUUUGGCAUUACGGUACUGGUUAGGUUUUGGUUUUAAGCUUAUGUUAAUAAGCGCGUUUCGCACUGCCCAGCUUGCUUCAGAAUUGUGUUCAUGCUUUGGUAGCAGGAUUUGGACUAGUUUAUGUGCUGGUCCAUUUAGUGGUCCAACAGCUGGUUGGUUUGGUGGUCGGGUCUGCUUUUGGGCAUGA
RNAcentral lists this long non-coding RNA (261 nucleotides) under Vicia faba (fava bean). The record is from RNAcentral. Lineage: Eukaryota; Viridiplantae; Streptophyta; Magnoliopsida; Fabales; Fabaceae.